RNAcentral lists this ribosomal RNA (454 nucleotides) under uncultured bacterium. RNAcentral's name for it is "partial 16S ribosomal RNA". It matches the Rfam family "Bacterial small subunit ribosomal RNA", at positions 28 to 507 of the family's 1533-position model. The record is from RNAcentral.
GAUGAACGCUGACAGAAUGCUUAACACAUGCAAGUCAACUUGAACUUCGGUUUGGGUGGCGGACGGGUGAGUAACGCGUAAAGAACUUGCCUCACAGCUAGGGACAACAUUUGGAAACGAAUGCUAAUACCUGAUAUUAUGAUUAUAUGGCAUCGUAUAAUUAUGAAAGCUAUAUGCGCUGUGAGAGAGCUUUGCGUCCCAUUAGCUAGUUGGAGAGGUAACAGCUCACCAAGGCGAUGAUGGGUAGCCGGCCUGAGAGGGUGAUCGGCCACAAGGGGACUGAGACACGGCCCUUACUCCUACGGGAGGCAGCAGUGGGGAAUAUUGGACAAUGGACCGAGAGUCUGAUCCAGCAAUUCUGUGUGCACGAUGAAGUUUUUCGGAAUGUAAAGUGCUUUCAGUUGGGAAGAAAAAAAUGACGGUACCAACAGAAGAAGUGAUGGCUAAAUACGUG